AACGUAGGACGCAAGCGUUAUCCGGAGUUACUGGGCGUAAAGCGCGGGCAGGCGGCUCGAUGCGUCUGAUGUGAAAUCUCCUCGCUCAACGGGGAGAGGCCAUUGGAAACGGACGAGCUGGAGGGCAGUAGAGGUAGGCGGAAUUCCGGGUGUAGCGGUGGAAUGCGUAGAGAUCCGGAAGAACACCGGUGGCGAAGGCGGUUAGCUGGGCAGUUGCUGACACUGAGGCGCGACAGCGUGGGGAGCAAACAGG
RNAcentral lists this ribosomal RNA (253 nucleotides) under uncultured bacterium. Its description in RNAcentral is "partial 16S ribosomal RNA". It matches the Rfam family "Bacterial small subunit ribosomal RNA", at positions 524 to 776 of the family's 1533-position model. The record is from RNAcentral.